UACGUAGGGGGCGAGCGUUACCCGGAAUCACUGGGCGUAAAGGGUGCGUAGGCGGCCGAGUGUGUCUGGCGUUAAAAUCCACGGCUCAACUGUGGGUAUGCGCUGGAAACUGCUUGGCUUGAGUGCAGCAGAGGCAGACGGAACUGCUGGUGUAGAGGUGAAAUUCGUAGAUAUCAGCAGGAACGCCGGUGGAGAAGUAGGUCUGCCGGGGUGUAAAUGACGCUGAGGCACGAAAGCUAGGGGAGCAAACCGG
RNAcentral lists this ribosomal RNA (253 nucleotides) under uncultured bacterium. RNAcentral's name for it is "partial 16S ribosomal RNA". It matches the Rfam family "Bacterial small subunit ribosomal RNA", at positions 524 to 776 of the family's 1533-position model. The record is from RNAcentral.